RNAcentral lists this ribozyme (76 nucleotides) under Crocodylus porosus (Australian saltwater crocodile). RNAcentral describes it as "Mammalian CPEB3 ribozyme (ENSCPRG00005004342.1)". It matches the Rfam family "Mammalian CPEB3 ribozyme". Rfam says of the family: The mammalian CPEB3 ribozyme is a self cleaving RNA located in the second intron of the CPEB3 gene which belongs to a family of genes regulating messenger RNA polyadenylation. This ribozyme is highly conserved and found only in mammals. Lineage: Eukaryota; Metazoa; Chordata; Crocodylia; Crocodylidae. The record is from Rfam by way of RNAcentral.
ACUGCACAUUUGAGGCCAUAGCAGAAGUGCUUGCAGUGUGGCCGUGUCAGAUUCCAGUGAAUCUGCAAAUUCUGCU